AUGCUCAUUUUAUCAGCACGUAUACUAAAAUUGGAACGGUACGGAGAAGACUAGCAUGGCCUCUGUGCAAGGAAGACAUGCAAAUCUGUGAACCAUUCCGUAUUUUA
Molecule: small nuclear RNA, 107 nt
Organism: Ailuropoda melanoleuca (giant panda)
Lineage: Eukaryota; Metazoa; Chordata; Mammalia; Carnivora; Ursidae
Source: Ensembl